AAGAGAGAAACAGAGAGAGAGAGAGAGAGAGAGACAUUAUCUAGAGAAGGAGAGGGAAAGUGUCUGAAUGGGAGUGUGUGUGUGUGUGUGUGUGUGUGUGUGUGUUAAGAAGCAGCAGGUGUUGGGUAAUAUUGGGGGCCAUUCCCACACUCUUUCUUUCCCUCUCUCGCUCCUUCUGUCUCUCUCUCU
RNAcentral lists this microRNA precursor (189 nucleotides) under Drosophila guanche. Lineage: Eukaryota; Metazoa; Arthropoda; Insecta; Diptera; Drosophilidae. The record is from RNAcentral.